AUUGAACGCUGGCGGCAUGCCUUACACAUGCAAGUCGAACGGUAACAGGUCUUCGGAUGCUGACGAGUGGCGAACGGGUGAGUAAUACAUCGGAACGUGCCCAGACGUGGGGGAUAACGAGGCGAAAGCUUUGCUAAUACCGCAUACGAUCUAAGGAUGAAAGCAGGGGACCGCAAGGCCUUGUGCGUUUGGAGCGGCCGAUGGCAGAUUAGGUAGUUGGUGGGAUAAAAGCUUACCAAGCCGACGAUCUGUAGCUGGUCUGAGAGGACGACCAGCCACACUGGGACUGAGACACGGCCCAGACUCCUACGGGAGGCAGCAGUGGGGAAUUUUGGACAACGGGCGAAAGCCUGAUCCAGCAAUGCCGCGUGCAGGAUGAAGGCCUUCGGGUUGUAAACUGCUUUUGUACGGAACGAAAAGGCUCUGGCUAAUACCUGGGGCACAUGACGGUACCGUAAGAAUAAGCACCGGCUAACUACGUG
RNAcentral lists this ribosomal RNA (482 nucleotides) under uncultured bacterium. Its description in RNAcentral is "partial 16S ribosomal RNA". It matches the Rfam family "Bacterial small subunit ribosomal RNA", at positions 30 to 507 of the family's 1533-position model. The record is from RNAcentral.